This 28604-nucleotide long non-coding RNA is filed under the name Panicum hallii. RNAcentral describes it as "long non-coding RNA (PHAL_LNC000408)". The record is from RNAcentral. Lineage: Eukaryota; Viridiplantae; Streptophyta; Magnoliopsida; Poales; Poaceae.
UGCAGUCCUUCUUCUUCUCCUCCCGACCCUAAGCGCCGAAAGGUGGUCGGGACCGCAUUUGCUGGGGAUGAUGUUCCAGCAGGUGGUUUUGCAGGAACUGCUAGGACUGACCCAUCGACUACUUCUGCAGGGGUCGUGACCAUUGCCGUGGCAGGUACCUCGCCGGGACACCCCGCGCCCUCGGCUGGUGUGACCCCGCCACCGGCAAUGAGUACCGUGGUUGUAAAACCACGGGUAUUGAGACUUAAGAAAUCCGGCAUGAAGAAAUCGUCUCUAUGAGUGCAUCUCCUUGUUCAUAAUGUAUCUUCUGUUCUUUCGACUUGUUUGAUGAUAUAUCCGAUUCUGCUUUGUUAGGACUUCGUCUGCUUUGGGGUUGGAUGAGCCAAAGCCUAUCUCGGCUACUCCAACCCCCGAGCCGCUAGUCGGACAACCUGAAGCGGAAAGCACACAACUGCUGCCUCCCGGAAAUGAGGACGCGACGUAGCCCAACCCACCACCUCCCGAGCCCCAGCAAAUCGAAUCCAAUGUUGGUGGUGGUGAACAAGUCGAGGCCACCGAUGCCGCUCCUGCGGAUGGCACAGGUAAGUGUCUGACCCCCUGCGGCUAACUGCUUAGACCGCAGGCUUCAUGUAUUGAAUGCUUUUCGACUUGCAGGUGCCCCGCAGCCAUCAACUGAAGAGGCUGUGGGUGCUUCUAGAAACUCUGGAACUCUGUUGACGUCUGGGAGAGGAUACAAGAACAUUAUCACCAAAGAUCUGUUGGAUGAUCCUCUCCUCUCGGUCGACAACAUGAGGUAUUUCCAGAAGAUCUCCAAGGAGAUGUACAAGUUCACCCUAGUAAGGCCUGACUGCUCUUCUGCCAUUAUACUUUAUCGAGUUGUUUUGUCUUCUCAGUCUUCCUCCUUGUACAGGAUGUGGCCAAACGCUCUCAAGAAAAAUCUAAGAAGCUGAAAGCAGUUGAGAGUGGCCUCCAAGAGCUCCAAGUGAAGGAUCGACGCAUCGAGGAAGAACUCUGAAAGAACAUCUAUCUUCGCAAGGAGCUCGACAAGCUGAAGCAGGAGCGGACACGGGAAACAUGGCUGCUCAAGAACAACAUCCAUAAUCUUGAGAAGUCCAACUCCGAGCUCCAAGAAUAGCUCAAGGAGUAGAAAAAAGUGCAUCAAGGCAAGUCCCUUCCUUGCUCGAGUACUUUCUCUAGCAGUUGGUCUUGUGUUCUGAAACAUUGUCUUCACCGCAGAGGUUAAGAAACUCUUAACUUAUAAAGAAGAGUUACUUACUGACGUGAAGAAUAUCCUAUAUCGUCACACAGAUGAUGUCAAGAAGCUGCAAAAGGUGAUCGCUAAUACUGAGCAGCAGUUCGUCGAUUGCCUUCAGCAGAUCAAGACGCUGGGCGAAGAGAAGGAAUAGCUCCAGAAGGAGCUGGAGGACCUAAGGGUGGCCGCCCAACAGCUGGUUGAAGUAGUGGAUCCACAAGAAGACGGCGCAGCAGACGGACGAUCCCUACUGGAGCGACUCCGCGGAGCUCCGCAGAAAGUCCUCAGCUUCAUCGCCGAGGCCCCCACCACAUAUGUUAGCCACGCCUUAGGUCUUGUGAAGUCAUUUUGGCCUAAGGCUCGACUAGAGGUACUCGCAUAGGGUGCGGCUGCGGACUGCUUUGAAGAGCAGUUCAGCGAGUACCUUCUAGAGGCUAGGCCUGUAGCUGAAAAAUAGUAGAGAGUAUAGUAUAGGAUUGAGUUAUUGUAAAGACAAGUAUUCUUCUCUUUGUAAUAUAUCUGUCAGAGCUAUCUGUACUAUCAUUGCCUUGUGAUUUCUGGAUUGCCAUCCACGUUCAUAGGCUAAGUAGUAGACACUAUCCCGGGUGCAGCGACUCUGGGAGUAGUCGAUAUAGCUCCUCAAGUGAGCCCAUCAAACAAGUUAGAUUAAAUCCGAUUGAGCGGAUCUAACCUGUUUAGAGUACGCGAUCCUCAUCGUGACGACUAUCAUGCUCGUAGCAAGUAGUCAAUACUAUCCCGAGUGAAGCGACUCUGAGAGUAGUCGAUAUAGCUCCUCAAGUGAGCCCAUCAAACAAGUUAGAUUGAACCCGAUCGAGCGGAUCUAACCUGUUCGGAGUACGCGAUCCUCAUCGCGAUGACUAUCAUGCUCGUAGCAAGUAGUCAAUACUACCCCGAGUGCAGCGACUCUUGGAAUAGUUGAUAUAGCUCCUCAAGUGAGCCCGUCAAACAAGUUAGAUUGAGUCCGAUCGAGUGGAUCUAGCCUGUUUGGAAAAACGCGAUCAUCAUCACGACGACAGCUAUGCUCAUGGCAAGAAGUCGAUUUAUAUAAAACUUGAACAUGGCUAUAGCCUCCGAAUUUUAAUAGAAAAUUUACAUUCUUGAUUCUGUGGCACAUGGCCUCCAAAUUGAAUCGGAAAGAAACCGCCUUGGCGCUCGAAGAACAGCUAUCACUGCGUGUCUUCUUAUGGAUAAAACUUGCUUAGGUUCUAUACAUUCCAGGAAUUUGGGGCGUCUUGGCCCUCGGGUUAUUGGAGUCGAUAAGACCCUGGUCUUGUAACCUGCUUGACGAUGAACGGUCCUUCCCACCUCGAAUUGAGCUUAUGUAAUCCUUACUCAUCUUGGAUGCGGCGUAGGACCAAAUCGCCUAUAUUGAGCGACCGUUCUCUGACAUUGCGGUCGUGAUAUCGUCGGAUCCCCUGUAGGUAUCGUGCUGACUGAACAAGAGAAGCGCAGCAAGCCUCUUCGACAGAGUCAAGCUCUAGCUGCCUUGCUUCGUCCGUCUCGCCUUCAUUGUACAUUUCAUAAAAUUGCUUCGGAGCCGUAGACAAGAAAAAAUGGCGUUUGUCCUGUGGCUUUUGACGGCUGAGUCCUGAGCCCCCAGAUGACAUGUGGCAACUCAUGUAUCCACUUUCCGCCUUUCUUGCUAUUUUCAUCAUAGAGUCUUUUCUUGAGGCCCUCGAUUAUCAUGCCGUUCGCCCUCUCGAUUUGAUCGUUGGCUCUUGGGUGUGCAAUGGAGACGUAUUUGACUUCGAUGCACACAUUUUCACAGAACUCCAAGAACUGGUUAGCCAUGAAAUUUGAUCCCAGGUCCGUGAUGAUGGUAUUCGGGAAGCCGAAGUGAUGCAGGAUGUCGGAGAUGAAAUCAACGACUCUGUCUGGUGUGAGUUUGGUUAUCGGCUUGUACUCGAUCCACUUGGUAAACUUGUCGAUCGCUACUAAUAUGUUGGUAAAACCGCCUAGCGCCAUUGUAAAUGGCCCAAUCAUAUCAAGGCUCCAGCAGGCAAACGGCCAGGAUGGCGGUAUGGUGAUAAGAUUGUGGGCUGGGACGUGAGAUUGCUUGCCAAAGAAUUGGCAGUUUUGGCAUCUCCACACCAGGUCUUCAGCGUCUGACACUGCGGUGGGCCACCAAAAACCAGCUCUAUAUGCUUUCCCAUCUAGCUUUCUUGAAGCUGCUUGGUUGCCGCAUACUCCAUCGUGUAUCUCCUGCAGUAUGUCAUAGCCGUCUUCUCCCGUGACGCAUUUCAUGAGUACACCUGAUCGUGCGCCACGCCGGUAGAGUUUAUUGUUGACUAGGACAAAACCUUUACUUCUGCGCAUGACACAAGCUGCCACUGCACUUUUUGCAUCCAUCCCUGCUUGUAGUCUUUGGUCCCGGAUGAAGUUGAUGUAAGUUUCUCUCCAGUCCUCCCCAAGCAUUAUAACCUCCCGAUCGGGCUUCUAAAGGCCAGUAUUAGUGGUUAUCUAAGGUGAGGACUUGAUGGAAGGUUGCUUCAGCUCCUGGAUGAAAACUCCGGCUGGGACUUGUGCAUGGGUGGAUCCUAGCUUGGAUAGUAUAUUUGUGCCGACAGUGUGUUCCCGUAUCACGUGAUGAACCUCCAGUCCGGAAAAUUUAUUUUCCAGCUUGCGUACUUCUUGUAUGUAGGCGUCAAAUGUCUCCUUGUUGCAGUCCUACUCUUUGUUGAUUUGCUGAACGACCAGAAGUGAAUCGCCGUAUACAAGUAGUCGCUUGAUACCUAGUGAUAUCGCCAAACAGAGCCCCUAAAGCAAGGCUUCAUACUCGUCUUCGUUAUUGGAUACCUCCCAAAGGAUCUGGAGGACAUACUUCAGUUGUUCGCCUUUCGAGGAGAUAAAUAGGACUCUAGCACCUCCACCAUCGAGCUUAAGUGAUCCAUCGAAAUAUAUGGUCCAAUGCUCUGGCUUAUCGACUGGAAUUGGAAUCUGGUUCUCUCUCCAUUCGGCCAGCUUGAGACUUAAUUGCAGUGUGUGGCUUGAAGUCGAUUGACAGAGCCCCCAGUUCCACUGCCCACUUUGAUAUACGUCCCGUGACAUCCUGAUUGUGUAGAAUAUCCGCCAAUGGAAAAUCCGUAAUCACUGUGAUCUUGUACUCAUCGAAGUAAUGGCGUAGCUUUCUUGAUGUGAUCAGUAUCGCAUAUAGGAGUUUCUGAACUGCCGAGUAUCAUACCUUACAUUCGGAGAGUACCUCGCUGACGAAGUACACGGGCCUCUGCACUCCAAAUGCAUGGCCCUCCUCGCUGCGUUCGACGAUGAUGGCACUGCUGAUGACAUGGGUUGUCGCCGCAAUAUAGAGUAGUAGAUUUUCUCCCGACAGUGGUACUUUGAGGACCGGGGGUGACUGUAGGUGUUGUUUCAGAUCCUGUAGGGCCCGCUCGGCCUCUUCCAUCCACUGGAACUUGUCUUGGCGCUUCAAGAGUUUGAAGAAGGGUAGUCCCCUCUCCCCGAGUCGGGAGAUGAACCUGUUCAGGGCUGCCAUACAUCCUAUUAGCUUCUGCACAUCCUUGAUUGUGGCCGGAGCCUCCAUGUCAGUGCUGGCCAUGAUCUUUUAAGGAUUGACUUCAAUUCCUCGAUGGCUGACAAUGAACUCGAGCAAUUUCCCUGAAGGUACUCCGAAAACGCACUUUGUUGGGUUGAGCUUCCACCGAAACUUUCGUAAGCUGUUGAAUGUUUCUUCUAAGUCUGCAAUCAGGUCCUUAGGAUUCCUGGUCUUGAUGACCAUGUCAUCCACCUAGGCCUCAACAUUCCGAUGUAGCUGAUCAGCGAAGCACAUUUGAAUUGCGCGUUGAUAGGUUGCACCUGCAUUUUUCAACCCGAAAGACAUAGUUUUGUAGGCAUAUGUCCCGAACGGGGUGAUAAACACGGUCUUUAUUUGAUCUUCCUCCUUGAGCGUGAUCUGGUGGUACCCCGAAUAGCAGUAAAGGAAAUAGAGGAGUACACAACCCGCCGUCGAGUCGAUGACUUGAUCGAUGCGCGGCAGCCCGAAGUGGUCCUUUGGGCAAUGCUUAUUGAGAUCGGUGUAGUCAACGCAUAUUCUCCAUUCAUUGUUCAUUUUCUUUACAAGGACAGGAUUAGCUAGCUACUCUGGAUGGAUUACUUCUUUAAUGAAGCCAGCGACGAGGAGUUUAGCUAUUUCCCUUUUGAUGGUCUCUCGUUUGUCUUGAGCAAACCUGCGAAGGCGUUGCUUUUUGGGCACAGCUUGUGCGUGUACAUUUAGACUAUGCUCGAUCAGUUCCUUGGGCACCCCUGGCAUAUCCGCUGGUUUCCACGCGAAUAUGUCUCGGUUAGCCCGAAAGAAACUGACGAGCGCGAUUUCCUAUUUCUCACCUAAGCCUGCACCGAUGACAGCGGUCUUAGAUGAGUCGCCCUCCUGGAGCUGGAUCGUCUUGAGGGCCACGUCGACGGUCGACUGGAUGCUCGACUUGCUUGCCUUUCUUGUUAGGAUUUCCAGCCUGGCUUGGGAGAGUUGUUGCGCGGCCGCGAGUACUUCUCCUGAAGCAUCUAGCACACGCGUAUUGGAUGGCCUCCUGGUUGCAGUCAUACAACUUCUUCAAGUCGCCUCGGAGAGUGAGUACCCUACUUCAUCCUGGCAUCUUGAGAAGUAGAUAAACAUAGUGCGGCACUGCCAUGAAUUUGGCCAGCGCCAGCCUGCCUAGUAUGGCAUGAUACGAAGAGUCGAAGUUGGCAACUUCGAAUUUGAUGAACUCGGUACGGUAGCUCUCCCUCGUGCCGAAGGUGACUAAAAGGACCGCCGUACCAAGUGGAUGCGCUGCGUUGCCUGGGACUAUGCUGUAGAAGGAAGACUUGCUUGGGAUGAGCAUGUCCGUUAAGUCCAAGCCCAUCUUUCUCAACGUGCUGGCGAAGAUGAGGUUGAGACCGCUUCCACCGUCGAUGAGUACUCUGGUGAGUUUGACUUCUGCCACCACCAGGUCUAGGGUCAGUGGGAAUUUGCCGGGCUCCAAGAAGCUGGUCCAUUGAUCGUCUGGUGAGAAUGAGAUGGGGACCUCCAACCAUCGGAGUGGUCGUGGUACCGCCGGCUCGACGGACAUGAUUUCUCAGAGUAGUAGUUUCUGGUCCCUCCUGGAACUGAACUCUUCGUCACCUCCGAAGAUGAUGUUGAUGGUUUUCGAGGCAUCUUGGAAUUUCACGUUAUGCGAUUUGUCCUCUUGGUCGUCCUCUUUAGGCUCUAUAUCCAUUGACUUGUUCUUCUUGUUAUUGCUGGGAUUGCUGAAUGUUCUCCGGAGGUGGUAGCAAUCAAUUGCCGUAUGAUUGGCACCUAGAUGCCAUGGGUAUUUCUUUUGCAAGAGCUUUUCGAAUUGCUCCUGCAUCGUUGUCUUCCUGCCUCGUGGAGGACGAUCCACAGCCACGACGAGGUUGUCUGGCUUGCGCUUUUGAGAUGAACCCGAGUAGUCCCGCUGACACUUGUCGGUACGCUUGUCAUUUAUGCACCUCGGGAACCGUUCACACAUCUUCUCCUCUUGAUCGGACCAAUCGUGCAUCAUGUCAUGAAGUUCGGCAACAGUUUUUGGUUUGUUCCGCCCAAAGUCUCUAUAGAUGUCUAGGUCCCUGAGGCCAUUGUAGAAGCAGACGAUGAUGUCCUCUUCCGAGAUGUUCACAAUGGUAGCUCGCACGUCGAAGAAACGACGUGUGUAUGAUCGUAGGAGCUUGUUGCGUUCCUAUUUACACUGAGCAAGGUCAUGACGAGUACUUGCGCGGCGAUCGCCCCCUAGAAGUUGUCGAUGAUGACUUUCUUGAGCCCCUCCCAGUAAUCGAUCGAGUUGUUGCUGAGGCUCUCCAACCAUGUGAGCAGUGCAGGGUCCACAGCCAUCGGGAAGUAGACGACCUUGGUGGUAUUGGAGCCUCCUGCGACUUCUAUGGUGGUAGAGUAACAUCGUAGCCAUUGCUGAGGAGCUUGUUUGCCGUCGUACUUGGUGAUCCCAAUUAGCUUGAAGUCCUUAGGAUACUUGUAACUGUUGAACCGUGCUGUGAACGCUGAAAAGCGAUCACUGCAGUCGGUACCUUCUGGAUCGGCUACUUCACGCUCUCUGCGUCUGGAAUCAAUUAUGGAUUGCGCAUCGCGUCCUUCAUUGAUUUUCUUGCAUAGGUCUUCUUGAGGAUUCCAAUGGUUGGGAUGAUUAGGUUGUCGCGGGUUGCCUCCUGGAGGUGGCUGCUGCCUCCUGCUAGUGGCCUGACUUCCACGAGCAUUGUCAUUGUUAUUACUUCGUUGAGGUCGAGGACGGCCGUCUGUCGUUCGACUAUUAGCCUGGCUGCGGCUUUCACCCAUGAGUUCUGCUCCGAUGGUUGACGCUGGGUUUUGUCGAUCGAGUUGGAUCCAUGCUCUUUGUGCGUAGCGAAGUGCUUGGCGCAGGUUUGGAUCGUUGCUACGUUCUAGUAUGGCAGUUACCCUGGCGAUGUUAACCCCGGGGGUUCUAAACCCCCGCUCGCUCACGACGGCGAAUUCGGCGUCUAGCUCACGAUGCAUAGAUCGCAUGCGCUCGUUGACCCUCCUUCGCCGGGCUGCGUGGGCUCUGUUCCUGGCCCUUCGUGCCUCACGCUCAGUGUCAUUUUCAUUGCUGGCGUUGGCUGUGGCCUCGUCUUCGGAUAUCAUGUAAAGUGUUUCGUUGGGUGAGAUGCCAUCGUCCUCGCCCUCUUCUACCAUCAACACUUGGCGUAAUAUGAGUUCGUCGGAGCUCGCUUCGACUAGCUCGAUUGAUUCUUCUACCGUGGUGGCUAAUGGCUUGCCCUCCUGAAAAGGCAAGGGCUUGAGGUGUGCCAUGAGUCGGUCUUCAUCUUCGAGUAGAUCGAAGAGUUUCAUGCCCUUCCAAUGCACGAAACGACCUUCUGGGGUGGAGGUGAUCAUCAGACCAUUGUGACGCCCUAAAAAUUUACCAAAAUCAAAUCACGCGUUAGAACGUUUCGAUUAAAGACCACUCGUCGCCAGACCAUAGCCCUAACCCCUGACCGCAUCGCCAUCACAUCCCGCGCCGCUCGGAAGCCUGCCGUCCGCGCGCGGUCAUCGCCGCGAAUAGCGCCGGCGCAAGUCAUUUCUCGCGCAGCGCGCGAAUCCCGCGCGCGCGUGGCCGAUCGGCCGCGGCUGCGGCCGCGAUUGGCGCUGACGCGUUUUCUUUUCCCCUCGCCGUUCCCCCUCGCACCGCGCGCUUCCCCGCGUGGCCGACCGGCCGCGGUCACCGCCGCGACCGGCGCCGGCCCCUCUCCCUCUCUCUUUUUCUUUUCUUUCUUUCCCUUUAUUUCUUUUUCCCUUUUUCCUUUUCUCUCCUUUUCCUUUCUUUCUUUUCUCCCUCCUCUCCCUUUUCUUCCUCCCCCCUUCCUCCCUGUUUUCCUCCUGCUCCUGAACACCGCCGGCCUUGGCUGCUCGCCGCACCAGCCACGCCAGCCCCUUUCCCCCCUGCGUGCGUGCCCGUGCGCCAGCCCCGCCCUCGCCCUGGCCGCGCCGUACCGCGCCGCUCGCGCACGCGCGUGCCCGCCCCGGAACGCGGCCGCGCCGCCCGUCGUCAAGCCGUGCCGCCCGCCGCUGCUCUCCACCGCGCCCUGCGCGCACGAGCACGCCCUGUUCCUCCGCGUGCCGCGCCGCCCGCUGCUGCCGCACACCGCCGCCGUCCUGGACACGCACUGCACACCGCGUCGCGACACGGACGAACGGACAAGCCGCCAUUAAUGGCGCCCGCGGAGCCGCCGGCCGAGACCCCCUCCACCGCCCUUCCCCCGGCCUAUAAAUAGCCUUCCCCGCACCUCGGCACCCCCACCAUCGCGCCAUCACCACCAGCUCCCUUCCCCAAGCUUCCACCGCCGCCCCCGCCGAGCCGCACGGCCGCCGCCGCCUGCCCCACGCCGGCCCGCCGCCUCGCGCAGCCCCCGCCCGAGGUGAACCCCAAAAAGGGACCCCCUCUUCCUCCUCCCCCUUUUCCCCCACACGCCCGAGCCGAUUAGGCCCUAGGGCCGCCGGAUUUGGGGCCGGCCGAGCCCCCCCCAUCCCUCCUCUGUUUCACGUGGUGAGGGGAGGAAGAAGAAGGGCAGUUUUGCCCAAAACCCCCCCCUUCUCCUCUAUUUAGUUAAAAGCCCCUCCACCCUUUGACCCCUUUGCGAAAAGAACCUAUUCCUUUUUGCUAUUUCCAAAACUAGACCCCCCCCCCAUGAUAUAAAUUUAAUUUCAAGUAGAUCCCUCGCACUUUUUGUUGUGCCUCUUAUGUUUCCAAGAUUUACAAAUAGGCCCUUCUGUUUCUAGAAAGUUUACGAGCAAGCCCCUGGACCCCCGUUUAACCCCUGAAGCCACCUUUAACUCGUCAUUUUAUGUGCGAAACGACCUCUGAUUGACCCGAAACUUUACCACGCCCUUUCUAGUAUAGUUUUAGCCAUGCCAUUAAGAAACCACCCAGAGAUAUUGCCCCGACCUCCGUAACUAAAUUAUUUCCGAUUCAAGCCCGACGAUAAAAGCUUUUAGUUCUUGUGCUUGAUUGUGUGCCUGUUUGUUUGCGUCGUAGGACACGGAGUGAACGAGGAAGGUCCCGACUGUGACCAAGCGAACGAGGACCAGUUCUGCGACCCCGAGCCCGAGGGACAGUGCUACGAUCAGGACCUCCCGCAAGGAUUUGACGAUGGCAAGUUCAAUUCCGCCCUUUGAUGCAUGUUUCUGUCCUAGUUUUUAUAAACACAACCCAGUGGCCUGUUUUAUAAAAUUGCAUUGUUUUGCGUGUUGAAAACAUGGUAGGAUAGCCACCCUUGCCGUGAUAGCCAUACCUUGAAUACCUGAUUUUAUAAAGAAAAAUGCGUGUGUGUGGGAAAGGGUAAAGUGUGGAUUUGAGAAACGAGUCGGACGGGAUGGAUGGCAUUUCUGUGUGAAUUGCCGUUGGUGUGCUCGUACCUGUGUGGUUGAGCGAGGAAGGGAGAUAUCCAUCCUGUCACCCCUAAGGACCGAGUUGAUGUGACAUCUCACCUAGCUUCUUGUCGUGCGAACCACUUGACCGUUGUAUGGGCAACGGCUUAGCAUAAAUCCCACUAGUUAGCCUGAUAGCCAUCAGGAGAGCUGAGAGCAACGGGUGAUCAAGGAGACGGGAUAAGCUCUGUGUGACUUAUGCCCCGGUUAAACCUCGGUGAUAGGUCGAAUGACCCCCUUGAUGGAUCCCGUGGUGGCUAGUCAGGUCUAGCUAAGGUGGGUAAUGGCUUUGUUGGGAUCUGCACCGGCACUAAGGUGUUCGUGCUGUGGUACCCCACCUGUGGGUAAAGUUGCACACCUCUGCAGAGUUAAAAAUCUAUUCGAAUAGCCGUGCCCACGGUAUUGGGUAAGUUAUGGUGUGGUCACAUAACUAGUGAUUCUCUCUGGGAAUGAUUGGGCUGGCGUGAGUUGUUUGGAAAGUAUCCGGCAGUUGUGCCGUGUGCUACGGCGGACGGGGAGUCCGGUAGCAGUCUAAAACUUGGAUCCUGUGUGGAUCAAAAUCGUGUGCUCCUUGGUAUUAGAAAACUCGUUUUGGAAAUCGUUUUUAAACGAACCCUUGCAUACAGUUGAGUUUUUCACAAAUAAACCAUAACCUAUCCUUGGAUUGUCCUGUGCAUACGAUUACUGUUAUACCCCCUCCGUGGGUGUGAUUGGACUUGCUGAGUACGUUUGUACUCACCCCUCUCUUACUUUUACAGUGGAAGACCCAGACUACAUCCCCGAAGACAACGAGUAGGGUUUCGUCCUGCACCCAGCCUUGCCUGUGGUUGAGGCCACCGUUGGAUUCCGCAUGGCGCAAGACUCUGAUGACCCUUUGUUCGUAGCUAGUAUAAUUGUGUGGGUUCUGGUUGUAAUCCUCGCGAUAGUGGCGCUUCACUGCCCAUUACCGCGUAGAGUUGUACGGUGAUGUACCAUCUGAUGUAAUAAAAGUGUUAUCAGCCUCCUGGGACUGAUAAAUCAACACUUUUAAGUCUUCCCUGAUGGGGGGGACGCUUCAACCAUCGUCACCAAGGUGACCCGCAGCCCCCCGACAUGCCGUGGCAUCGGGUUUCCCGAUUUGGAGUAAAUAGUCCAAGUCCUUUUCCAAUGCGGAGAGGGACUCGGAAUUGUUGGCCUCCUGAUGUUCAGUGGCCGAAUUGCGUGAACCGAGUCGUGAUCGGCUAUGCAAGUCCUCAGAUUGGAGCGAGUCCGAUCCGAGCGUGGUUGUUGCAGAGCGUGAUGGAGUCGUGUUGAAAACGGACUCCUCCUCAAUCUUCCUGGCGAAGCCAUGGGUCAACAAGUCGUCGAGAUUGUCGACGAACUCGUCGAGCUCGCUAUGAAAACUUGCUGCGAGAGUUUUCGGCUUCAUGACGUCGAUGGUGAAUCGGCGAAAAUCGCCCGCGCCAUCUACAACGCAGACCCAUUAGCCGAAAACGAGCGUCGUGCCCUCAGGGGGCACGGCACUGGUGAACUUGAAUGAUGCUAUCGAGUUCACCGGUGGAUCUUCGAUGCGCACCCCUACCUGGCGCGCCAGCUAUCGGUGUUUUACCGCUUGCCCAUCGAGGGGUAUACCCGAGGUGGUGAGUUUUAGGUAGGGUGUCGCCGAGAUCAGGAACUCGAAGGUGCAAGCAACACAAGGUUUAGACAGGUUCAGGCCGCGAGGUGCGUAAUAUCCUACGUCCUGUUUGGUGGUUUGUAUUGCCUUGGGUGUUGAUGUGUUUUGAAGGGGUCCCUGCCCGCCCUUAUAUAUCCGGGAGGACAGGGUUACAUGAAUCCUAGUCCGACACUAGCCUAGGAAUCGUACUCGAGUACAACUCGAGUAGUUUCCUUCUGUAUCGACUAGUUCUACUUUGUAUGCGAGUAGAAUACAACAUAGAUAAGGUAUAGGACAUGUCCUAUCCCCUAUUCCUAUAUGAACUACGUUAUGUACACAGUCCCGUAGUCCCGGGUCUGACAAGAACUACUGGCUGGCUCAUGAACAGUUCCUAGAAGUUGUGCAACAUGGUUCGAACUUGCCAUGUGCUCACACUGAUAAGGCAAAGAUCAUUGGUGCCAAAUUCAAAAGCCUAAGAAGAGUACUCAAAGCUAGGAAAAAUCAACUCCCUAGUUUGGCCAAAACUAUUCAGAAUUGCAAAGAGGUGAUACUUCUCCUAGACACUUUAGAAGAAUUAAGGGAUCUUUCUACUGAGGAGUGGAACUUUAGAUCUUUAGUGGAGAAUCACCUACAGGCUCUCCUGAGCCAGCAACAAAUUUAGUGGAAGCAAAGAGGAACCAUUAAAUGGGUCAAAUUUGGAGAUGAGUGCACAUAGUUCUUUCAUGCUAAUGCUUCCAUCAAACACAUAAGGAAUUAUAUCAUUCUGCUUAGAAACAGUGAAGGUGAUGAGUUCACUGAUCAUGAGGCAAAAGCUCAAAUCAUCUGGCAAGCUUUUAAAAAGAGGCUAGGAAGAUCAGAUUUCACUCAUGUGUAUGUUGACCUAUAUUCCCUUCUCUUGCCAAGAGAUGAUCUCCAAUGGUUGGACUCAGCUUUCAUCAUAGAGGAAAUAAAUAGAUUAAUUGCUGAUCUGCCCAAUCAUAAAUCUCCUGGUCCUUAUGGUUUUAAUGGAGAAUUCCUGAAGCAUUGUUGGAGGAUCAUUGCUGAGGAUUUUUACAAUCUCUGUGAGGCCUUUCAUGAAGGAGAAAUAUGCCUGAGAAGCAUCUACAGCUCUAAUAUCACUCUCAUCCCCAAGAAAGACACUCCUCUCACAGUAAACGAUUAUAGGCCCAUUUCUCUCUUGAACUCUCCCCCGAAACUUCUUACAAAGAUCUUACUUGAAAGACUACAACAGGUCAUCCUCUUACUGGUUCAUGCUAACCAAUAUGGUUUUAUAAAAACCAAAACAAUUCAAGAUUGCCUAGCUUGGGCGUUUAAAUAUUUACACCUCUGCAAGAAUUCUAGAAAAGAACCGGUGAUUCUAAAAAUUGAUUUUGAAAAGGCAUUUGACACAAUUGAACACCAAGCCAUCCUCCAAGUUCUACAUCACAAGGGUUUUAGUAGCAUCUGGAUCAGCUGGAUUAAGUGCAUCCUGGAUUCUAGAACUUCCUCAGUGCUACUUAAUGGUGUCCUGGGGAAAGUUUUUCACUGCAAAAGGGGUGUUAAAUAGGGUGAUCCUUUAUCUCCCCUGUUAUUUGCCAUCGCAGCUGAUUUUCUGUAAUCUAUGGUUAAUAAGGCCAAACAACAAGAUCUCCUAAAAUUAACCCUUACAAGAAGAGUAGGAGAGGACUUCCCAAUCAUUCAGUAUGCGGAUGACACCCUUCUCUUUCUAGAAGCCUGUCCCGUGCAAUUUUAAGUCCUCAAAAAUUUGCUUGUCGAAUUCUCAUCCUCAUCUGGGUUAAAAGUUAACUACAGAAAGUCCUCUCUUGUGCCCAUUAAUGUCCCUCCAGAAAAAUUAGACUUGCUAGCUGAUAUUCUCUGUCAGAAGGGCACUAUUCCUUUCACCUAUCCUAGACCGCCUCUCUGCAGCACAAAACCAAAAAUGGAAGACUUCUUGCCUCUGGUGCAAAAGAUUGAAAGAAGAUUGGUCUCCACAUAUUCUUUCCUUUCUCCUGGAGGCAAACUUAAGACGGUAAACUUGGUUCUUUCCUCAACAGCUGUUUUUCAUUGUUGCACUUUGAAACUGUGCAAGGGAAUAAUUCAACAAAUAGAUAAGUAUAGAAAACACUGCCUCUGGAGAGGUUCUGAUCUUAAUGCAAAACAAACAUAUAGGGCUGCUUGGAUAAUGGUUUGUCUCCCCAAAAGUGAAGGAGGACUUGGGGUUUUGAAUUUAGCCACACAUAAUGAUUCUUUGCUUCUGAAAUUCCUUUACAAGUUCUUCACUAGAGCCAACAUCCCUUGGUUCAAUCUUGUUUUGGAAAAUUAUUACCAUAGUGGCAAGCUCCAUGGUCAGCAAAGGAAAGGAUUCUUCUGGUGGAGAGAUCUAGUCAAAUUAAUUGAUUCUUUCAAAGGAUUAGCUAAAGCCACUGCCCACAAUGAGGAUACAAUUCUUCUUUGGAACAACACCUGGAAUGACUCAAGAUACAAUUCUUCUUUGGAACGACAGCUGAAAUGACUCAGUACUAGACUUAGCUAUCCUGAACUGCUUUCCUUUGCAAGAAACAACAAUGUCACAAUCAAGCAAGCAUUAGAUGCCCCUAAGCUUUUGAGCAACUUCAAUCUUCCUUUCUCCUCUCAAGCAUACCAACAGUUUUUGCUGCUAGAAGGUCUUCUACAACCCCUCUCUCAGGAUCAACGGCCUGACGAAUGGAAUUUUAUUUGGGGGAAUAAUAUUUUCUCUGCCAAGAAAGCCUAUAAACAACUCAUUGGAUAUAGGCCAACUUUGCCCAUCUACUUUUGGAUGUGGAACUCGGUAUAUCAAAUGAACCACAAGGUAUUUUUCUGGCUUGUUUUAAAAGAUAGGAUCAAUACAAGGGACAUGUUAAGGAGAAGAGGAAUGGAACUGGACUCUUUUGUCUGCGAGAUGUGUAUACUUCAGGUUCCUGAAACCUCAGUUCAUUUGCUACUAAGAUGCAAUUUCGCCAAAGCCUGUUGGGCCUCAAUUGGAGUACAAUAUGUCCCCUCUAGGACACCAUUUUAGAUAGAUAUUUAGGAGAAUCAGACAAACUUUAAAUGUGCCUUUUUUCAUGGAAAUUAUAAUCUUUAUGAGCUGGAGCAUUUAGACAACAAGGAAUGACUAGUUAUUUAACUUUAUUGCCCCAGUAAUCAGUAGCUGCAAAAGGAAGUUCAAGUCUGAAUUUCGACUUCUCCUUCAUCGUGUGAAGACAAGCGCAGUCCCUGCUAUGACAUCAUGGAUUGAUCAUAUCUAAUGCUUCUCCACCCUCCCGGGCUAGUUUUAAUCUUAGUUUAAUUUUCUUUCCCUUUGUUUUGUUUUUUGAGUUCCAGUUGUCUUUCUAUAAACUGUUUACCUCUUUUUUUAAUAAUAUAGCAUAGUAGGGGCGUGCCCCUCCUGUUUCCUCAAAAAAAAAGUGAUAUUUGAAAGCACACAAAGUACAUCACACAAUGUAAGAAUUAGUAUUACCCUUCGGACCAGCCAUCCCAUCAAUUACAGUUAGGGUAUUUAUAGGGUCUCUCAACAUUCUAAAUAUUACAUUCCUAGAAUAUUCUAUGGGUACAUGGUAAUUUCUCUCUUGUGCACGCUUUACAACUUUACAGCUCAGCUCGUUCUUCAUGGCUCCGAACCUCCAGCGAUCAACCGAAGGGGCUAAAACUGCAUGACACCUUCGGGCCUCCUCUUCGGCUCCAUUCUCCGCACCUCCGCCUCCGCGGUCAUCACCCUUCAGCCACCCAGACCUGCCUUUGUUUCGCCUCGAGCCCCCGUGGCUUUGGAUCGCUUGCUGUCAAGAAAAAUCAAAGUUGAACAAGAACACAAACCCUUCGGCGGGCGACCGAAGGUGGCGUCCCAAACACCUUUCUUCGUUACACACACAAUUACACAAACACACCUCUCAUAAAAAUGCAUGAAGUAUUGGACAACCUCGCUGCAAUGACAUAAGGAUGAUCAUAAAAAUGAAAAAAAAUCCCGUUUACCAUGCAUCAUUUCUUAGAUUCUCUUUCUCUUUCACGUUCAAAUGAGAUUGGAAGUAUUAUUGUAAAAACAAGAAUGAAAAUUAGGGAUAGAUGAGAACGGAUCAGAUACAGACGAUCAUCUAUGGAUACGAAUACUGAUAAUUAUCUUUUUUUGGAUCGCACUGAGAUAAAGAUAUGGAUAGUCUAAAAUUUGUUGAAUACGGGUCGGAUAUUGAUAUCCAUCUAAUAUCAAUAUAAUAUAUCCAUCUUUGAUUAUCCAAAUUCGGAUAUGGAUCGAUCUCGAAUGGCUAAAUUUUGAUAUGGAUUAUCCAUUUAGUAUCAAAACCCCUUGCGAUUGGAUGAUCGAAAGGAAAGAAUUCGCACAUUUUCAAUGAAAAUGGUAAGAAAAGCUAAAGAGUCAAGCAGGCGAGUUCAAAGGCUCCAAGACACAGACACUCCUUGCUUACAAGUGUGAAUCACUCGAAUUAUCAUAAAAGUCUAAUUUUCAAUCCAUCAACUACAAAAUAGGAUAACGACGGUCAUCCAACUAUUGAAACCGGAUAAACUUGGUGGUUUCAAAUGUGAUUUUUCAUUUUGUGAAAAUUAAAAAUAUUCUUGUUUAAACUAAAAAAUUCAUAAGUAUUCAUUUAAAUCAGAAAAAUACAAAACAGGUACCAAUAUUUUUCUAAAAAUAUAAUCUAUCUGUUGGUAAUCCUUGUCAGUUAUUUGGAUCUAAUUUUUUCUAGUGCUUAGUAUUUAUUUUCUUAUAGUUAUGCUUAUUAUUUUAUAUAAAUGAGAUUAAAACAGAGCACCAACAAAUAGAUUACACUUUUAGAAAAAAAUGGUCCCAAUUUCAUAUUUUUUAUUUAAAAUAAAUUAGUUAUGAUUUUUUUAGGUCUAACCAGAAUUUUUUAAAUUUAGAAAAAGAAUGCAAAACCAGCUAUGAAACCACCGAAAGGGAAAAUUUGUUCAUUUGACAGUUGGAUGGUCCCUGUUGUCCGAUUUUAUAGUUGAGGGUUGAAAAUCAAAUUAUUGUAUUAGCUUAGGGGGGGUAUUGGACUUUUCUCUUGUUCUUUGAACGAUGUUUCCUUAAGUGUCCAUAGUUCUUGAAUUAGACCAUUAUUCAACGUGUAGUUCGUAAGUUUACACAUUGGGGCCUUAAUCUUAAACAUCUAACGCCAUUACUCUAGCUUAUACAUUUAGCUCACCAUUAGACCUUCUAGAUAAGGAGAACAAUUUUCAUAGGACUUGUCCAAUUCAAUCCAAGCUUUGUCUCAAAUUUGCUGACUUUCUUAUACUGCAUCAUAGAUGCAGUCAGCCUUAUGCUGCGCCACUGCCUGUCACCAAGGGCUUCCAUUUUGAUUUUCGAAUACCGUCGACUCUUGCUCGAACUGAACCAGUCCUGAGUCCUGACUCCUUGCAGGAGGUGCGUGCGUGAGCUAAGCGUGGGUGACCUUCUAUGGGAUGGACAUCAUCUAUUUUUUGAUAGCCAGCUAUCUGGUAUGGUUUGGACAAUCACUCACGCGGUUUUCAGUCUUCCAAAGUUUCAUAGUGUGACGUAUAUGUUUGGGCAAUGGUUGAUGGGAAUUGCUAAUUAAUUUUUAAAUCACUUGUAUUACUUGGAGCAGUGGCUACGUGUUCGUGUUUGUGGUUGUGUUAAUACACUUUGAUAUAUUAAUACAAAUAAACUUUCUUUCUGCAAGUUAUCUUCAUAAUUUCACACUGCGUGCGCACAUGGGCUAUUCUCCACAAGUCUACUAUACAGGGACUAGUUGUACCGGCAUCUCGGCAAUUGGUACAAAUGGUCAAGAUCUAUUUUACCCGGGUAUAUAUGUGACGGUCUAGUCUACGGACUAAUGGUCAUUAAAAUUCCGGGCUUUUUUCCUUCGUGUAAGGCUGUGUGCCGCUAGGCAGAGGCUGUAAAUUUUUCAAACAUUAUCGUAUCCUGUUGAUGUGACGCUACUUGAAAUUAAGGAAAAUUUCUCUCUUUUAAAAAAAAUGUGGUGGACGUCAACCCAACUGCCCUUGUAAUGUGGAUCUUUCUUGGCCAUAUGCGAGUCGAAUACCCUCUACACCAUGCAAAUUAUGCCAAGGCAAGGAGCAGAAGAAGCCAAGUGAGCAGUGACAGGUAUCGUUAUGUCUGGAUCGUGCCUAGACAAAAAUGAGCACAUUAUCAGAUCAUAUAUAUAUAUAUAUGUUAGUAUGUGCAUGUGUUCCUCCAAAGUAACUAGAGUUUUACUUCAAUGGUCCCUUUCAUAAAAACUGCACGAAUCUUAAAAGCAAUAACAUAAUUAAGCAAUUACUUUUAACUCGGGUUAUGUUUGGGCCCGUCCCUACCCGUAUCCAAGUGAAGCCCGGACCAUGCCCACUUAUUCUUUUUAGAUCUUAUCCUGCGUUUCAAUCCAGUCGAUCGCGGACUGCAGAGGCCAUUGGCAUGGCGAGCGGAAGGACAGGCGGCGGCGCCAUUGGCGUGCUGUGUCCACUGCACAGAGCGACCUAGCUGACCGAGGGAUUUAUCCGUAGUAACUGUCACCGCAACUCCCGAUCCGUUUGCAAAGGACAGAGAGGGAACUCCAAGGGUAUGGGUCGGACGGCGUCAUUCUGCGUGCCGUGCGGGCGGACUGAGGCUGGUGCGAAUCCGCGGCGAGCCGGCGAAGACGCAUAGCGUUGCCUCCCGCGUGGCCGUCUCUGUUCUUGUAGUAUAUGCCAAAAAGAGUUUGUUCAGAUGCAGUUUUAUUCCUGUGCUAUGAACUAUGUAUUGGAGCAGUUCUCCUGUUCCUUUCUUAAUUAAAGAUGAGGUAUCAUAUGGCUUCUAAGUUCUGACUUCUGAAUGCAAAACUGGAUGUUGGCUAUUCGAUACUGUUUACUGAUAUUAGUAUUUGGUUCUACUUCUGAAAGCGAGGAUUAGUGAAAAACGAUUGGGGCUCACUUCGCUCCAGGCAUAAAAUCCGAGCCCGAAGACCAAAACCCAAAAAACCCAAGCCCAAACCCAUUCAGCCCAUUACCCGAUACCCGAACAUGUUUCUCGGGUUGCAAUCGUCAAAACCCGAACUAAUUUCGGGCUUUUCGGGUUUAGGGUCGCGGUACCUGAACUACCUGUUUAGCCCAUAGUUUUUUUCUUUCCGUCACAUCUCGCGAGGCGCGACUCCACCGCUCCACGGCCCAGCCCACAUUCUGUGAGUGUGAUAUUCUGUUAAGUUCAUGUCCAAACUACCCAUAAUGUUGAUGUUUUUGUUCAGAUUUGCUGUUCAAAUGCUGCUGUAAUUUUGGUUCAUAUUUGAGUAGUUCGGGUAGUACGGGCUACCCGAAUCCAAACCUGAAGUUUUCGGGUACCCGAAUUUUCGGGUAGUAGUCUGUGCAGGCCCAUUUCGGGCUUAGGUUCUGAAAGCCCGAACUUUCAAAAGCCCGAAUAAUCCGACCCGAAAGUUCGGGCUAACCCGAACGCCCGGAGUGAGGCUCACUCACUGCAAAAUUGCAUCAUUGCUUGCUGCCUCUGUCUCUCUCGCCCUGCAGACCCUGCCUGAGCGUUAGAGCUGUCAUGCUGGACUGCUAGCUGAGAUGUGCGAUCAGUGCUGUAAACUGUUGUCUGUUGCUAAAAUUGAUGCUGAAAUUGUGAAUCUGUGAGUGGCAUUCCACAUAUUCAGUAUGGUGUUCGGCACGGUGACGUGUUCAAACUUUAUUUUGAUACAGGAUCGCCAGAAUAUUUAGAAUUUACCUAAGCCAAUAAAAUUCUUUUUUUAGAUUAUGGAAAAAAAUCCGGCCUUGAUCAUUCACAAGCGAAUGACUACAUUCAAAAGAGUUAUAAAAAGUUCUUAAACUCUAAACCUCAAAUGAGGGAUUUCACGGAUACAAGAAAGAAAGCUGUGAAACAAAGAAAGAAAACUAGAAGAUUAAGUUUGAAUCUUCUUCUUUGUUCAUGCUUCAACCUUUUAAUAUUUUAAUAUUUUCACGCAGCACCAAUCCAUCACAUCUCUCGUCUGCUUAGAAACUUGAUAUCCGGAUCGGCUGUUGCUUGCCAAAUCUUUUCACGUAAAUCUCCGCCUAGCGCAUGGGUGCGAGGAUACAUCCAGGGAGAAAGUGGCUCCAAAAGGUGUCACCAAUAUCAACGCCGGCAUAAUGCCGGACAAGGAUUUCCUCAAACGGUUUCCUGUAGCACCCGACAUCAACACGGACCCGCAAAUACUUAUUAACAUAUUAUUAACAUGAACUGAAUGGUUCAUGAAUUGGGGAUGGCAAUUAGGGCUUCACUGUUCGGUCAUAUGGUCAGAGUUCAGAAGAUUUUGCAUGGACAUCAUAAAUGUUUGUGGUGAAAAUUAAAAUGGUUCCACAUAUAAAGGCAAACACAAGUAGCACGUACACUUUUCCCUAAAGAACAAUACACUACAGAGAAGACAGUGACCAGCCAUGGAAAUGUUUGUCGUUCAUUAAUUGAAUGACAAACAAGUUGUACCUUAAAGAUGCAAACUUUAUGGCAUGCUUAUCAGGAAGGAAUUAACAGAGGAGGUGGGAGGAUCCCAGCCAUCAGCUCUUUCAUAGCCUAGGUUGACGCCAUCCUCGUACUUUCUCCUGGAAUUUCUUUGUUGCAAACGGAUCACGAGUUGCGGCACGGAUCGCUCCCUCAGUUAGCUUGACUAUUGCUCCUUUCGCUUGCCAUUCGAAUAGCCUCCGCACUCCGCCACUCGACGGGAUUGAGAAUGAGAUCCAAAAGAAAGUGGCUAUGGAUCGGGCCCUACUUGGACACGGGUAGGGCUGGACUCAAAUAUAACCCACAACGAAAUUAAUUUAUUAAUUGUUUGCUUACUUUAAGAUUUGUGCAAUUUUUAUAGAAGGGACUAUCGGAGCGAAACUUAAGUAAAAGAAGAAGAAACAGGAGCACAUGUAUCCCACAAAAUAGGGCAUUACAGAGCACCUCAACAUUCCCUGGCCUUCAAAUUUGUUGCCAAUAGUCAUCUGCUAAGCAAGUUGUAUUGGAAAGCCAUGCAAUCUCUCAUCUACGAAUUUUGGUACAAGAAUAAAAUUCUUGAAAACUAAGCCACAAGAGUGAAGUUCAGAGAAGUAGCUAGAUGGUACUCAUAGUAUGAAAAUAGCACUAUGUACGUAUUUAUAUGCCAAUCAGUUUUAGAAAAACAAACAAACUCAUUUACAAAUGUUAGAUAACCUCACUGAUAAACAACUCGGACACAGUUUCGUUGGCUCAUCAGCACACGAUCAAUAGGAUGACAACUUAGGAUAAGUAGCAUCAUGUACGCCAACUUGAAGAAAGAAAUUUCUCUGCGACGGUGCCACAUGACCCACCUGGUACGACACCGCCCAGAAUGCUAACGCGUGGCGAUAGACACCAUCGGGAGAUUGCGAUUCCGCAGGAGUUUUGCGUCAUUGGAGCCAGCUCCUUGGUGCAUCCAUGCCCGCACAAACUCCCACAGAAUCGCAAUCUCCCGAUGAUGUCGAUUUCCACACGUCAGCAUCCUGGGUAGUGUCGCACCAGGUGCGUCGUGCGGCGAGAGAAUUUUCUUCCCUACUUGAAAGCCAAGGAUUCUUCUUUUUCUUAAAAAUGUCUAUUUCAAUUCUUCUCAUAUUCUAGCAGUUUAAUUUUUUUCUCAAAUCAAACGAAAUACAAUGCAUCCCUCGAGUGUUAACACUAGGUCGUAUCAUGCAUGUUGGGAAUGUUUUAGGGUGGUCUUGUGUGAUGUGGUAGCCACAACACCAACUUGGUUCCGCAUGUCCUUCUCUUUCACACACACAAUUACAAAACGUACCUCUCUAUAGAAGUGCUAGUGUUGAACAAUAUCGCUGUUGGAAUAUAGGGAUGAGCGCAAAAAUGAAAAAAAAUCCUGUUUACUAUGAAUUAUUUUUGAGAUUCUCAUCUUUUUCGUGUUCAAAUGAGAAUGAAAAUAGUAUUUUAAAAACAAGAACGAAAAUGAUUAUAACGUAAGUAAACAUAAACAAGAUUUUGGUCUCUUUUAGUAAUUUUUGAGGUUUCCAUAUUAGACCGGUAAUUACUGCCUAUAAAUUACAACCAAAUGUUUCAUGGUUAGAUACACCGCUCGCUCAAGGUCAAAGAACCAAGUGCCAUCCUAAGAUGAAGAGAUAGUGAAUUAGCACACUAUUCCUAGGCUCCAACUAAUCACUUGCUCAAUGUAAACUUAACCUUGCUUAUAUUGAUGUGCUCUGAGGUUUAUCUAGUGUGGCUAGAGGUACAAACUUAGCACAAGUAUUCAUCCCAUGGUAUCGUAUCAAUGGAUAAACCGUCAAUUUAAUCCAUGUCAUUGCACCAUCAAGAAUAUGCUCCUAGUCACUAAAACCCUCGCAAUCAAAGGUUCUUGGAUUACCACCACCAAGAUGGGCACCAAGCUGGAUGGGCAAGUUGCUCUUCAAGCCUCUCCUCCUAUCACUUAGCGCUAUCAUUAUUUGGGAGCAUGAUCUCGCAGUAGCAAGGGCCUAUGUGAACCCGUACAAUCCUCUUGCCAUCGCUUCAUAGACUAAACUAGAGAGUCAAGAAGGUGAGCCCAAAGGCUAGCUCCAAGACACCGGCACUCAUACGCUUACAAGUGUGAACUAUACCUUGAUCUAAGCACAAUGAAGUGACAUCUUAUAGACAAUUUAUCUAGCCUAGACUAGAAAUAAUCCCCCUCUACCCACUUCGGUGGCUUGGUAGUUUUCUCAAUAAGGUGUACCUUCCUGUGGAGCAAUAGGUCAUAUUAGCUAUAGAGAUAGAGGUGCUCUUACUCGAGGCGGCUGGCUAGCUCAGAGCAUUGGAUGCGGUCAGUCGGCCUUCUGGCAUGCGACUGCCUGCUCCUUUAUGUAAAUUCUACAUUAUUGACACCAUUUUCCUCCAGUCAUCAAUUGCUUCCAUUUCGAUUUUCGAAUGGCUUCGGCUCUUGCUCGAACUGAACCACUCCUGAGUCAUCCUGACUCCUUGCAGGAGAUGUGUGUGUGAGCUAAGCGUUGGUGACCUUCCCUUCUCUGUGGUGGACAUGAACCCAGUUGGAUGGCCUUGUAUUGAGGACCUUCCAUUGCAGUAUGGCGAGUCCAGACACACCGCAUGCAAAUUCUGCCAAGGCGAGGAGCAGAAGAAGUCACGACCGACGGGUAUGGUUUUGUCAGGAUCGCGUCAAGACACAACUGCAGCAGAAGAAGACAAGUGAGGAGUGACAGGUAUUCUUUUGUCUCGAUCGUGUCUACGGCCUGAUCCAGACGAAAACGAGCACAUCAGCCCUCAGCUCUGGCCGCAGCAGGAGUUAUAUCAAUAAACAGUUACAGCAUUAUCGACAAUGUAGUCUGGGUAUCGUUAAAGAAUUUUAUUCCGGAAUUAAGAGUGGGUGUUGACAGCAUUUCAGAACCACUACUUAUGUAUUGCGAUAAUCAACUCACAAUUUUCUAUUCGAGUAACAACAAAUAAGUUUUUAUGCCACAAACAUUGACAUAAAGUAUCAUAUUGUGAAAGAUACAGUCCAAGAUUAAACAAUUAAGAUUAAGAACAUCAGUACUGAAUUUAUGUUUGCGAACCCACUUUCAAAAGCCUAUCACCUAGUAUUUCUCGUAAUUAUGUAGCCAGGAUGGGUUUAUUGGAAGGCCUCUGAUUCUGGACAAAAGAAGAUUGUCUAUGAAACCAACUCCCAUAAAGUAUCAUGUGAAUAUCCGAUCGAUUGGGAAUGUAAUAUUGUAAGUGAUGCGAUUUGGUAAUUCGUGAUUGAUCAUCAUGACACAUUGCUCUAGUGUGAAGCUCCACUUUGAAAGGGUUUAUGAUGAUUAACUUUAAAAUUAAGAGUGAAUGUUGGACUAAUCUCGAGGCUAACAAUAAGCUCGAGGUUAAAAGACCCAUUACGCCAAAUCGCACCAUGAUCGGGGGGCCCAUAACCAAGCCUAGGUUUCAGUCCCCGUCACCCAGUGUAAUAUUUAAUAGAGAGGUUGGUCCCUCACACAAACUAACGUUUUGUGAGGCUAAACCUUACUCCCACAUUUCUAAUCCGAUUUUCGAAUGGCUUGAGCUCUUGCUCGAUCUGAACUUUGCUCGAUCUGAACCACUCCUGAGUGAGUCCUGACUCCUUGCAGGAGAUGUGUGUGUGAGCUAAUAAGCAUGGGUGACCUUAUUCUCUUCUCUGUGGUGGACAUGAACCCAACUGGAUGGCCUUGUAUUGAGGACCUUCCAUUGCAGUACGGCGAGUCAAGACACACCGCAUGCAAAUUCUGCCAAGGCGGGGAGCAGAAGAAGUCACGACCGACGGGUAUGGUUUUGUCCGCCCCUCUCCUCGCGGUGGCCGCCGGCCGGCCGGUCACAUGCCCUCCGCUGGAUAAGCCGCCUUUCCAACCGCCAAUAGGCCGCGCAUUCCCGUGCACACACUCGCCCGCUCCCCAUCCCUAUUUAAAGCCACCCGCGCCCUCGCCGUGCAUCGCAACAGCUAGCUAGCACGGCGCCCUCCGCUCCAGCCAUCUAGCUAGCCUCGCUUGCCUUCCCGCUCACGCACGCCAUGGCGUCCUCCGAGCGCCACCACUCCAUCGACGCGCAGGUCCGGCUCCUGGCCCCCGGCAAGGUCUCCGAGGAUGACAAGCUCGUCGAGUACGACGUCCUCCUCAUGGACCGCUUCCUCGACAUCCUCCAGGACCUCCACGGCCCCGGCAUCCGUGAAUUCGUAACGAUCAAUAAUUGAUGCUCCUCUUUGCUUUCGGUCCUCCAGUUCGCCGCCUGUCGUAUAUACGCACGUGGCGUGCUCUUCUCCUUAGCUUCUCACCGGCCCCGACCGUGCGUGCGUGCGUGCCUGCAGGUCCAGGACUGCUACGAGCUGUCGGCGGAGUACGAGGGCGACCGCAACGCCGCGCGCCUGAAAGACCUCGGGUCCAGGCUCGCCAGCCUGGCCCCCGCCGACGCCAUCCUCGUCGCGGGCUCCAUCCAGCACAUGCUCAACCUCGCCAACCUCGCCGAGGAGGUGCAGAUCGCGCACCGCCGCCGGAACAAGCUCAAGAGCGGGGACUUCGCCGACGAGGGCUCCGCCACCACCGAGUCCAACAUCGAGGAGACGAUCAAGCGCCUCGUCGACCUCGGAAAGUCCAAGGAGGAGGUGUUCGAGGCGCUCAAGAACCAGACCGUCGACCUCGUCCUCACCGCGCACCCAACGCAGUCCGUCCGGAGGUCGCUCCUCCAGAAGCACGCCAGGUAAUUAAGUACCAAGUCAUCACUCUCCUCAUUACUAGUUCGCAAUUCAUUUUCGGUCACCAACAUGUAUAUAAUUUCCCUUCGAUUCGGUUCGGCAUUACGCAACGGAAAUGCAUGUUCGUGUUGCCCUUGCGCGCAGGAUCCGGAAUUGCCUCACGCAGCUGAAUGCCAAGGACAUCACGGACGACGAAAAGAAGGAGCUCGACGAGGAUCUUCACAGGGCGGUACGUGCAUUUGACACUAGGGAAUAUGAAAACUUUUUAUGACGCGCAAUACCACCACUUAGUGAUAUAUACUAAGCAUAUAAUGAGAAGAUUUAACCCUUCAUUAGUUCAUUAGUAAGGGUAGUUUUAUAAUUAUUUUCUAGUUAUAAAUGAAAAUAAAGAUAGGGAAUUAGAAAGAUAGUCCGAAUAAAAUGAAUCCUGAUAUUAUCUUAUAGCACCUUGAUACUACCUAUACUAUUUAUAUAUACUACAUAUGCUAAUACUGGAGUUUUCAGUAGUACACAAAAAUCGUAGGAUGUUUCUAUACUAGUCAUUUUCAAACCGUAGUAUAGGCCAGUAUUGUGUACUAUAGAAUACAUACCUGUGUCUGAGGCCUUUCCUCAGUUGCCCGUCAGACAGGGUAUUCUGACAUUAUUUCUCCCAUGCCUGCGAGGAGGAAGAGUGGCGACCCGUCUCUUUUGGUCGUUACAUUCUUUCUUCUUUUAAUUUGAUAGAGAUAGAACACAAUACGUCGACUGGUGAGUUAAAGACACUGAGAAUGACACGUGUAAUUUAGUGGGCCAGAAAAUCCUUCAACAUACGUAUAUGGUAUAUAUUGAUGGUAGGGUUGUUUCUAGACAGACCUUCGGUUCUGUGCUAAAGAAACGAAGGGCAUCUCAAAUUUAAGACGAAUCAGAAUUUUCCACUCCAUUUAUAAUCAUUACAAAUUCAAAGCAGCUAGCCUUUGUUAUCAGAUCACAAAUACUUUUUUUAGGGCCGGCUAUUAGAUCACAAAUACUAGAUAGGCAGGAGGCCAUGUAUACAUGUUAUGCAGAAGAAGAAAAAAAACUGAGUGCUUAGAUAAUUCGCUCUGUUGGUUCUUCACGUACGUACAGAUCCAAGCAGCCUUCAGAACAGAUGAGAUUCGGAGAGCACAGCCGACCCCGCAGGAUGAGAUGCGUUACGGGAUGAGCUACAUCCACGAGACCAUAUGGAAGGGUGUUCCAAAGUUUCUGCGUCGUGUGGACACAGCUCUGAAGAACAUCGGGAUCGACGAGCGCCUCCCCUACAAUGUUCCCCUCAUCCAGUUUUGUUCUUGGAUGGGUGGCGACCGUGAUGGUACGUAAAUCCGAUCCGAUCCCCUGUUUUAUUUAUUUCAGAUGCAAGCGAUCACAAGCAUUCAGCUGAUUGCUUAUGAGUAAUCCAACUAUUAAUCAUUAUAUUGGUUUGCGCGCACAGGAAAUCCAAGGGUUACGCCGGAGGUGACAAGGGAUGUAUGCUUGCUGGCACGAAUGAUGGCUGCAAACUUGUACUUCACCGGGCUAGAAAAUCUCAUGUUUGAGGUAUGUAUUCCUUGUCUAUUCCAUUCCUAGAUGUUUAACUUUGCCUGCUGUUGCUGCCUGCUGCCUCCUGCACCAUCCCAUCAUCGAUCUGAUGCAUGAAUGAUGAGCUUCCAGCUCUCUAUGUGGCGCUGCAAUGACGAACUCCGCGCUCGGGCGCAAGAAAUACACAGUGCUCCAAAGAAAGCUGCCAAGCACUACAUAGGUAACAAAACAUCUCCGCCAGGCAGCCUUACUUUUCCAGGCACUACAUGCUGUCAGUCAGAUUUUCUGGAUGAAGAGAUCGAAUUUGUGCAGAGUUCUGGAAGCAAAUCCCUCUCAACGAGCCGUAUCGCGUGGUGCUUGGUAACGUGAGGGACAAACUGUACAACACACGCGAGCGUGCGCGCCAGCUGCUGACUAAUGAAAUUUCUGACAUUCCGGAGGAAUCGGCCUUCAGCAAUGUUCAAGAGGUAACAAAUUGCCAUGCAUGCGUGCUCCGUCCUGAUCAUGCAUGUAUACUAGCCACGCACUGCCACUGUCUGAUACAUACUGCUACUGCCACGAACGAACCUGCCAGUUCCUGGAGCCCCUUGAGCUGUGCUACAAAUCACUGUGCGAGUGCGGCGACAAGACCAUCGCCGACGGGAGCCUGCUGGACUUCCUCCGCCAGGUCUCCACGUUCGGGCUCUCCCUCGUGAAGCUGGACAUCCGGCAGGAGUCGGAGCGGCACACCGACGUGAUCGACGCCAUCACCACGCACAUCGGCAUCGGCUCCUACCGCUCCUGGCCCGAGGAGAAGCGCCAGGAGUGGCUGCUAUCCGAGCUGCGCGGCAAGCGCCCGCUGCUCGCCCCGGACAUGCCCCAGACCGAGGAGAUCGCCGACGUGCUCGGCUGUUUCCGCGUCCUCGCCGAGCUGCCCCGCGACAGCUUCGGCCCCUACAUCAUCUCCAUGGCCACGGCGCCGUCGGACGUCCUCGCCGUCGAGCUCCUGCAGCGGGAGUGCCACGUGCGCGACCCGCUGCCCGUGGUGCCGCUCUUCGAGAGGCUCGCCGACCUGCAGAAUGCGCCCGCGUCCAUGGAGCGCCUCUUCUCGGUGGACUGGUACUUGGAGCGGAUCAACGGCAAGCAGCAGGUCAUGAUCGGCUACUCCGACUCCGGCAAGGACGCCGGCCGCCUGUCCGCGGCGUGGCAGCUGUACAGGGCGCAGGAGGAGCUCGCGCAGGUGGCCAAGCGUUACAGCGUGAAGCUGACCAUGUUCCACGGGCGCGGCGGCACCGUCGGCAGGGGAGGCGGGCCCUCGCACCUCGCCAUCCUGUCGCAGCCGCCGGACACCAUCAACGGGUCGAUCCGUGUGACGGUGCAGGGCGAGGUCAUCGAGCACUCCUUCGGCGAGGAUCACCUCUGCUUCCGGACGCUGGAGCGGUUCACGGCCGCCACGCUGGAGCACGGCAUGCACCCGCCAGUCUCCCCCAAGCCCGAGUGGCGCAAGCUCAUGGACGAGAUGGCCGUCGUUGCCACGGAGGAGUACCGGUCCAUCGUCUUCAGAGAGCCGCGCUUCGUCGAGUACUUCCGAUCGGUAAGCUAGACAUAUAUCAUUCAUCAUUAGGUGACGCAUGCAUUCGCUGCGGCGAACUCAUUCAUCCAUGGUUCCUUCUUCUAAAUUCCUCCUCGAUCGUACGUGCCAGGCUACGCCUGAGACGGAGUACGGCAGGAUGAACAUCGGCAGCCGGCCGGCGAAGAGGAAGCCCAAGGGCGGCAUCGAGUCGCUCCGCGCGAUCCCCUGGAUCUUCUCGUGGACGCAGACGAGGUUCCACCUCCCCGUGUGGCUCGGCGUCGGCGCCGCGUUCCAGUCUGCCAUUAAGAAGGACAGCAAGAACAUCCAGAAGCUCAAGGAGAUGUACAACGAGUGGCCCUUCUUCAGGGUCACCAUUGACCUGCUGGAGAUGGUCUUCGCCAAGGGGGACCCCAGCAUCGCCGGCUUGUACGACGAGCUGCUCGUCGCCGACGACCUCAAGCCCUUCGGGGAGCAGCUCAGGAACAAGUACCUGGAGACGCAGCAGUUUCUCCUGCAGGUACUGAUACUACUGAAACAAACAAAAAAAAAGAUUCUGAAAAAUUCACAGCAUUUUCAUAUGAAACUUGAUGCACGAUGAUGAUUCUGUGACUUCCUGAUCU